AACGAACGCUGGCGGCAGGCCUAAAACAUGCAAGUCGAACGCUGUAGCAAUCCAGAGUGGCGCACGGGUGAGUAACACGUGGGAAUGUGCCUUUUGGUACGGAACAACUUUUGGAAACGAAAGCUAAUACCGUAUGGUCCCUUCGGGGUAAAGAUUUAUCGCCAAAAGAGCAGCCCGCGUCUGAUUAGCUAGUUGGUGAGGUAAUGGCUCACCAAGGCGACGAUCAGUAGCUGGUCUGAGAGGACGAUCAGCCACACUGGGACUGAGAAACGGCCCAGACUCCUACGGGAGGCAGCAGUUAGGAAUAUUGGACAAUGGGCGCAAGCCUGAUCCAGCCAUGCCGCGUGAGUGAUGAAGGCCUUCGGGUUGUAAAGCUCUUUAGCCGAUGAAUAUAAUGACUGUAGUCGGAAAAUAAGCCCCGGCUAACUUCGUGCCAGCAGCCGCCGUAA
Molecule: ribosomal RNA, 449 nt
Filed under: uncultured bacterium
Lineage: Bacteria
Description: partial 16S ribosomal RNA
Rfam family: Bacterial small subunit ribosomal RNA
Source: RNAcentral